RNAcentral lists this ribosomal RNA (497 nucleotides) under uncultured bacterium. Its description in RNAcentral is "partial 16S ribosomal RNA". It matches the Rfam family "Bacterial small subunit ribosomal RNA", at positions 28 to 507 of the family's 1533-position model. The record is from RNAcentral.
GAUGAACGCUGGCGGCGUGCCUAAUACAUGCAAGUCGAGCGAACAGACGAGGAGCUUGCUCCUCUGACGUUAGCGGCGGACGGGUGAGUAACACGUGGAUAACCUACCUAUAAGACUGGGAUAACUUCGGGAAACCGGAGCUAAUACCGGAUAAUAUAUUGAACCGCAUGGUUCAAUAGUGAAAGACGGUUUUGCUGUCACUUAUAGAUGGAUCUGCGCCGCAUUAGCUAGUUGGUAAGGUAACGGCUUACCAAGGCAACGAUGCGUAGUCGACCUGAGAGGGUGAUCGGCCACACUGGAACUGAGACACGGUCCAGACUCCUACGGGAGGCAGCAGUAGGGAAUCUUCCGCAAUGGGCGAAAGCCUGACGGAGCAACGCCGCGUGAGUGAUGAAGGUCUUCGGAUCGUAAAACUCUGUUAUUAGGGAAGAACAAAUGUGUAAGUAACUAUGCACGUCUUGACGGUACCUAAUCAGAAAGCCACGGCUAACUACGUG